UACAGAGGUCUCAAGCGUUGUUCGGAUUCAUUGGGCGUAAAGGGUGCGUAGGCGGCUUGUCACGUCGGGUGUGAAAGCCCGGGGCUUAACCCCGGGUCUGCAUUCGAUACGGGCUAGCUAGAGUGUGGUAGGGGAGACUGGAAUUCCUGGUGUAGCGGUGAAAUGCGCAGAUAUCAGGAAGAACACCCGUGGCGAAGGCGGCUCUCUGGAACGCAACUGACGCUGAGACGCGAAAGCGUGGGGAGCAAACAGG
This 253-nucleotide ribosomal RNA is filed under the name uncultured bacterium. RNAcentral's name for it is "partial 16S ribosomal RNA". It matches the Rfam family "Bacterial small subunit ribosomal RNA", at positions 524 to 776 of the family's 1533-position model. The record is from RNAcentral.